Molecule: long non-coding RNA, 1057 nt
Filed under: Chrysemys picta bellii (western painted turtle)
Lineage: Eukaryota; Metazoa; Chordata; Testudines; Emydidae
Description: lncRNA (ENSCPBG00000005567.1)
Source: RNAcentral
UUCUCACUCUGCUGCCAGAUGAUGGGUAACCAAGAUGAAUGGAUGAAAUAUGAGCUGAUGGCCAUCCAGCGUAGCUCUCACCUCCGGGUUAUCGGAGGAGGGCUAUUAACAACAGUUAAAUUAGCACAGUCAUUGGCCUAUAUGAAGCUCUGCUUGGGUAACCUGCCCUUAUCUAUUCAAUUAGGUAAGUCUGCUUUCAUCGUAUACUGUGAAGAGAAGGUGUCAGUAUUAAGGGAGAGACACUUAAUAGAUUUGUUUUCUCCACAGGCUAUCGAGCCCAUGAAAUGUGUGUGUGUCUGAAGAAACCGAAGCUGGACUAUCUGGUUCUCUGCAUGCUCUUCAAAGCUCUCUUUCUGAGCAUCAGGUACCAAGAUUGUGUGCAAGUACUGAGCUGGCUGGAGCAGUUGGCUGUUGUGGAGGAGACAAUCAUUGGGAUGGCUUGUUUCUUUUCUUACUGUUUAGAACUCUUGCUUUAUGUUGGUAAGUACUGGGUAAUGAGGACAACAGAUAAAGGCGUGCUUUGCAAAGACACUCUUGGACAGGGACGGUUGCCAUGUCAACACUGCCAGAAAACGGUGGCGCCAUUCUGGCAUCUCGUUUGUGGUUAAACUGCAAUUGAUAUGCUUUUAAAGAAGAGAGCUAAAAGAUUUAACAGAAAAGGGGUUGUAGCUCCGAUGAAGGGAUGUUGAUAUCUGUGUGAACGUUGACGCUUUUGGGAUAUUCUCAUACAAAUCUGGAGCCUUAUACUGGGAGGUGGGAGGUUGUAAAGUUGGCCAACAAGGCUAACUGGGGUUCUGCAGACUUCACUCAGCUGGCAUGGAGGAAUUCCCCUCAUCUCUACCCCAAUCACCCUGCUCCUUUUAGCCCCCUGGCACUCCGCACAUCUAAAGCCUUGUGUACAGUUAAAACCUUUGCCAGUAUAACUAUAUCAGUAUGGUUGAAUUGGCAAAACCCUGCUAAUGGAGAUGCUGUUAUACCAGCAAAAAAAUUCUUUUGCUGGUACAGCUUAUACCAGUUUUGUGAAUUACAUAAACUGUACUGGCAAAAGCCCUUUCCC